This 4685-nucleotide long non-coding RNA is filed under the name Sus scrofa (pig). RNAcentral's name for it is "lncRNA (ENSSSCG00000042605.1)". The record is from RNAcentral. Lineage: Eukaryota; Metazoa; Chordata; Mammalia; Artiodactyla; Suidae.
GCUUGUGGUUGCCCUGUUUUUUAAAUAUGCUAACCCCUUCCCAUAAUUGUGUGUUUUAGCCUGAUGGUCCUGUAAGUUCAAACACUUCAUUACUAUAUUAAAGUUAAGAAGAGAAACAUACAAACAAAGAGGGUUAUUUACUUCCUAACAUCCCUUGCCCACAUUUUAUGGUUUUGAUGACUCUUUUUUUUUUCUUUUUAAUUUUAUUUUGUUUGAAGCAUGUUCAUGAUUAAAUCUGUAUGCUGGCUUAUUUGAGUGACUGCUCUCUGAUUGUGGUUUCCUCAGUCCUAGUUCUUCCUCUUCUUCUUCUUUUUUUUUUUUCUUUUCUUUUUUCUUCCCUUUCCUUCCUUUCUUUUUGGUUUAGAGAAGCCCUUUCAAUAUUUCCUUUAACCUGGGUUUUGUGUUGCUGUAUUCUUUAAGUUUUUGUUUGUUGGGAAAAAUUUUUAUUUCCCCUUCUAUUUUAAAUGAUAUUCUUGCUGGAUAGAGUAUUCUAGGUUGCAUAUUUUUUCCUUUUAGCACUUUAAAUAUCUCUUGCCAUUCCCUCCUGGCCUGUAGUGUUUCUGUAGAGAAAUCAGCUGAUAUUCUUAUGGGAGUUCCCUUGUAGGUAACAUUCUGUUUUUCUCUUGCUGCCUUUAGGAUCCUCUUUAUCACUAACUUUUGCCAUUUUUAUUAUGAUGUGUCUUGGUGUGGGUCUGUUUGGGUUCAGUUUGUUUGGGGCCCUCUGUGCUUCUUGUAUCUUGAAUCCAGUAUCCUUUAGAUUUGGGAAGUUUCCAGCGAUAAUUUCUUCAAAUAUAUUUUCCAUCCCCUUAUCUUUUCCUACUCCUUCUGGAAUUCCUAUUAUGCAUAGAUUGGCCCGCUUUAUAUUAUCCCAUAGGUCUCUUAUAUUGCUUUCCAGUUUUUUGAUUCGGUUUUCUGUCUGUUGACUGGAUUGAGUGAUUUCCAUUAUUCUAUCUUCCAUAUCACUGAUUCGUUCUUCUGCAUUAUUCAUUCUGGUUUUUACUGCUCCUAGUUCAGUUUGCAUCUCUGCAAAUGAAUGUUCUAGUUUUUCUUGGCUCCUCCUUAUAUUUUCUAGUUCCUUUCUGAGGGUAUCUGCAUUACUGUUCAUAUCUUCUCUUAAUUCCUUCAGUAUUUUCACUAUUUCUCUUUUGAAUUCCAGGUCUGUUUGACUGCAGAGAUCAGUUUCAUUGUUGACUGUUUUAGGUGAGUUCUCCUGUUGGUUUGACUGGGGGUGGUUUCUCAGCUUCUUCAUCUUGCUUGUUGUUUUCUUUCUCCUGAGGGAGUUGUACUCUCCGUUAUUGGGCAGUGUUUGCCUUGUCACUGCCGUGGAAUAUUUCCUGAGGGCUGGCAUUGUUGGUCAAUCUUUUUUGAGGCAGUGUGGCUUUUCUGGAGUGUUGAUGGGGCUAACAGUGUUUCUUUGAAGCAAAGGAGGGCUUCCUGAGGGCAGGCAGGACUGGGAGGUCUACACCGUGAUGGUAGCAGAUUUCACUUUGCCAUGCAGAGCUUGCUCUGGUGUUUUUAGGCUGUGGGGUUCUUGCAGGGGGUUGGCGGUGUUGGGCAGCUGUUCCUCAGGAGUGCAUCACCUCCUGGGGGCUGGAGCAGCUAUCUGGGUCACUGAGAACCUAAGAGGCUCUUCCCUAGGGCAGCCCAACUCAGAAGGACGGCCUGAGAAUGUAGGCGGAUCUUUUCACAGUCUGGCCGAGCUUGUUGCAGCUUUUCUGGGCUGCAGGGGCUCUUCCAGGGAGCUGGUGGUGCUGAGCAGCUAUUCCCUGGGAGUGGUGCACCCCCUGGGGGCUUGGGCGGGUAGCAGGGCCACUGGAAACUCAAGAGGCUCCUCCCCAGGGCAGCCCAACUCAGAAAAACCGUCCGAGAAUUAGGCCGAUCUAUUCACGCCCUGGCUAAGCUUGUUCUAGCUUUUCUGGGCUGCAGGCCUUUUCUCGGGGGCUGGUGGUGUUUGGUGCUGCUCUGCGGAAGUGUAGCCCCUCCAAAGGGCAAGCAGGCCUGUGCAGGGACAGCCCCUGCGGUGGUAGACUUCAGGCAAUUGUUGAGGCCAGCCCUCCUGGAUGGCAGGCAGCCCCAGGUCCGGUGAGAGCGUAGGGGGUGGUGGGGGUGGGGGGAGGGGAUGCACUGGGAAGCACAGCUUUCAGCUAGCUAGCGGGCCUGUAAGCUUGCUGUGGUGUGGGGGGUAUUCUAUGGGGACCUACCCCUUCUUCUCUCCCCUCCCCAGCACGGGCACAGACCAGGCUCUUCUCCCAGGUUCCCUCUGAUGCGGCUUUCCACUUCCCCGCCCCUAGAGUAUUGCUCCCUUCCUCUGCGACAGCUUUGUUUUCUAGUCUCCCAGGCAGUCUCUGCCCCAUCAAAUGGUUUCUAGACCUCCCAAGCAGUUUCCGCUCCGCCCCGCCUCCCCAGCCCGGGGACUAACCUCUGGAGCCGAGGUCUCAGUGCCCAGCCCCCACCUCAUUUCCUUUCCAUCAGCUCUGCAAAAUGCUUUUCUGUUUUCAUUGUCCUCUAAUCACCCUUCCUCCACAGCACUUCUCUAGCAAGAUUUCCAGUGACAUGCCAAUGCCAGGGUGGCAAGAAUAUUCCUUCCAGAUGCAGGCACUAAAGUGGGCAAGUCUACUAAGAUUAAAAAAAUAAAACUGACUCAAAGUCAGUCUACUUUUUAAUACCCCUAUGAGUCACUGAGUCUAAACAAUGUCAGUGACAAACUACUCCUCCCACCAAAAGAAAAAUCUUUACUCAGUGUUUUAAACAAUUGCUGUGAUUACAGUUGGCUUUCAGUAUUACAUACAUGAGAUUUAAUUGAGCACAUGAUUAAUAGCAUAUCCUUUUACAAAUAUUUUUACAUGGAAAUUAAUUCACUGAAUUCCCAGUGAUACAAUCAACACUCCAAACGUGUUCAUCAGGUGGGUAAAUUUGUAACGAUUCAAUACUGUUCAAGCUCACUUCAGGAGCAAUUUCCACGCCCACUGCCUAUAGUACUACACAUACCCACAUUUAAAUACAAGCAGUCCUUGCUUUGCAUGAUACUGUGGGACUAAAAAUGACCAUGCCAACAGAAGCCAGGCAAAACAAUCUUCACAAUCAAUGGGGAAAAGUACAAUUCUUCUGUGACUUCUAAACUUUUUGGUUGAAACAUUAUAAAAACUACUACUGUAGAUAAGUAGAGAAAUGAAAGAAAUAAUAAAAUUGCUCCUUAUUUAGUACAUUAUAACUUAAGACACAAGAAACAGCAUGAAUUAAAGGUGUUUUGUUUCUUCGUUAAGCAGUUUGAAUGGCACUUGCCUUUUUGUCCUAGGUCUUAUGAUCUGGAAUGAGCGUUUUUGUCUAUGCCUUGACAAAUUGUUAAACUUAUUCCUAGGUUUAAAUAAGCUUUCAACAUUUUUUUCCUAUGCUUUUUCAAUGUUGUGAUCUCUAAGAAUUUAAUCUUUAUAUUUUUCAUCACAGCCACUUACCUCAUAACAUCAGUAAAUUCACCUCCACUGAGGUCCUCCAGCUGCAUUUCUAGAGUCUCAAACAAUGCUGUGUCAACAUUAACAAGGUCAGUUAUUUCUCCUAUAAACUUCGUUCCUGUUAUAUUUGGAUUUCACUUCCAGCAUUAUCACUUUCAUUUUUUUUGCUACAUUCAUCACUGUUGGUCGAUUUCCUCUUUCGACCAUCCACUUCUGUAAAAUGUCAUGUGGAUAAUCACUGGGCAAUAAGUACUCAACUAUACACUUCACUGUGCAUGAACCAAGAGAUUCACAGGGACCAACACCCAGACUUUUAUAGAAGUGUUGGGAUUGGUCACUGACCAUGACCCACAUCUGUUAUUUAUGCUGUGAUAGGUGGGCUGAAGAGUCAGCCAUAUAAGUUUGCACCUCACACAAUUCCUUACAGUUAAUAAACUAAACUAGCAAUUGAAAUUUGAGCCCUGUUGUUGAGGGGCCAAUGUUAUUUUACUAAGCUAUGGUAACUGAAAUUUGUGUCCAUGGGAACCAUGCAAAGCAAGGCCUGCCUAUAGUAGAUUCUCCAUGAUGAUAGUAUGGGGAUUAUGAAGACGGAUAAACAGAACUUGUGUUACCUCAACUUUGUCAUUCUGUGUGACCAGUUGAUGUUUAGAUUUGUAUGUAAUACUUUAGUAUAAAUAGUGCAAAAAAAAGCAAUGUUUAGUAAGUGUAAAUUUUAGUUCAUACAUGAUUUUAUAAAAUACUUAAUAUGUAACAAAUAUUUGAAUGUUUAAAAGUGAAAUUUAUUCUUUUUAGAUUUUUAACUUUUAAAAUACAAAGAAUAAAAAAAUUAUUACUGAAAACAGCUGUCAUAUAAACAAGGAAUGUGUUUAAAAAAUGAUACAUUCUGUGUCAAAUAUACUAGGCAUGAAGUUGGAAUUUUCCAAAAGGUGGAUCUGAUCUUAUAUUUCCUCUGAUCAAAAUUUUUUGGAGGCAGGAUCAAGAUGGCAGAGGAGUAAGAUGCGAUGUUCAUCUUCUCCCACAAACAUGACAACAACAACCCCAUUUACAUGUACAAUAGUCCACACAGAACAUUUACUGAAUGCUGGCAGAAGACCUCAGACCCCCCAAAAAUGACAAAAAAAAAAAAUCCACAUAACUAGGUAGAACAAAAGGAAAACAAAAAGAGACAGAACAGAAAAAAAGGAAUCAGGAUGGGACCAGCACUCCUGGGAGGGAGCUGUGAGAGAGGAAAGGAAU